UGAGUCAGACCUUGGUAGCCUCCUUACUUGCUCCAUUUGCUUCAGAGAGAGAAGUGCGGGUGUGCGGUUUAGUGAAGGAGCAAGGCUGAUGUGAAUAGAAGAACCCAAGGUAGAGCAGGAAGAGAAAUCCAGCUAGAGAAAGAGGUGGAAGUCAAAAUAAGUAGACUCUUAUUUUAAAUUUUUAAUGGCUUCUUGGUGGCUUCAAGAUAAAAGAUAGACAAUGAGGAGCUUUGUGUUUGGGAAAAGAAUAAAAGUCAACUGUAGCAAAACCUCUCAGAAGUAGGAUUUAUACACAGUUCUCAAAGUAUGCACAUGAAAAUGUAAUUUCUUGGGAAAGCAGCAAACAGAAAAGAAUCAAACCGCAGUUGUGUGUGGCAAGGAUAAAUAUGCAACGCAUCAUCAAUAGGAUUUGUUGGGUGAAUAAAAAAGCCUUUUAGCCAACAAUAUGUAAGCAGAAGAAUGGAGCAGGAGUUAGAGAGAACCCUCAAGCAAUAAUGGAGGCCACUGGAGAGGCAAGACUGCCAAAGGCUAAGUUAUUGACCCAGUAUUUUUAAAACUGCCUCCGAAAAGAAGCCUGAAUGAAAGAAAAUAAUUUGUGCUAUUAGAAUGUAUUUUUCCUUUGUGUUCCUAUCUACUUCCUUCACAAGCUAUUUUUGAUUGAUUUUUCUGAGAACAAAAUAAAUAUCCACAGUGAGUCACAAAUGUAAAUGUAUUGAGCACCCAAUGUAUGGAGCCCUUUCUCCAAGACCUCGCUGCCGUAAAUACAAAUAUAACUGAGAACUGGUGAUUUGAAGAUGAUUCUUGGGAUAGCGGGCUAGGCGGCACUUCACACUGGCUUUUGGGGCCACAUAGGGGUGUAAUCAUGUUAUCACCCUGCACAACCCCAGAGGGUACCAUACACAACCCAUUUGACCAAACAUGGCAGUCCUGAAAGGAAUGAUGAUUGAAAGCCAAGACUGGGCUUUGGCAAGAAAACCACCUCUGAAUUACCAACUCAUUGUCUAUAAUGUAAUGAUAGCAUCUACCUCUUAGUAAUUUUGUGAACAUUAAAUGAAUAAAGCAUGACAAAAGGCCUA
Long non-coding RNA from Gorilla gorilla gorilla (western lowland gorilla), 1076 nucleotides. RefSeq lists it as uncharacterized. The record is from RefSeq and is a predicted model, not a curated record. The transcript is spliced from 3 exons. NCBI's taxonomy places the organism in Eukaryota, Metazoa, Chordata, Mammalia, Primates, Hominidae.